This 177-nucleotide unclassified non-coding RNA is filed under the name Mucoromycotina sp. Its description in RNAcentral is "partial contains small subunit ribosomal RNA, internal transcribed spacer 1, and 5.8S ribosomal RNA". The stretch from base 1 to 47 matches the Rfam family "Eukaryotic small subunit ribosomal RNA", at positions 1785 to 1831 of the family's 1831-position model. Lineage: Eukaryota; Fungi; Mucoromycota. The record is from RNAcentral.
AAAGUCGUAACAAGGUUUCCGUAGGUGAACCUGCGGAAGGAUCAUUAGUUAUAAUCCAUAUUGAAAUGGAAUUGAUUUAUUCUUUACUUUCAAAUCCUGUCGAUAAUUUUUUUAAUUUCCAACGAAAUAAAAAUGAGUAACCAAAUAUAACUUUUAACAAUGGAUCUCUUGGCUCUC